AUGUGGAACACAACCACCAAACGCGUGACUAUUUCCGAACGUCCCUAAUAAAUUCACUGAGGUCCCGCCGUUCACAGGCUGCCGGACAAACCCAGGAAGAGCAUAAAAAGUGCCAGAUGACUUUAUGACUCUCCCUUCCCUUACUCCCUUCCUCCCUACUCCUCCUCCUCCUCCUCCCCCUCCCCCAUCCCCGGACAGAGGGAGAACCCCACGCCUCGAGGCAUACGCAUCUUUAGAUUCCCCUCCCGUGUCAGUUUGUUUCAUAAAAGAUCGGGGGCGUAUUUGCAUAGCAUUUUUAACGCCGGGAUCAACAAAAGCGCCGGACAAUGGCGGCCCGCCGAGUGUGUGAUCCCCCGGCGGCGCUCAAUCUGAUGAGGAUCAUCAAGCCUCCAAGCUCCCACUAUAUGCAACUCACCUGUUGCGGUGCAGCUAACUAACGCCGGGCCCGGAUAUUUCCAGUUCAAUCAGGAUUCGGGGAGUUGUGUGGCUUCUUCUUCUUCUCCUUCUUACUUGGCCUGGCGAUGGAGGCUGGCUCUACCACCGCCACUAGGGUGGCUAACAGGAGCAGUAGCAGCAACGUGAGCAGAAAGAGAAGACACUGCCGGGGUUGGCAAUCCUGGAGAAGCCUCCUUAAAAUGGAAGCUGUCCCUGGAGAGUGUCCACUGUGUUUUCCAGUGACUUGAGAGCUAAGUGACCAAGGAAUAUUUUUGUUGUGAUGCCACCACGGAAUGCUGCCAGUGAUUGCAAAGAGGAAAAAGUGAUGUGUUGGAAUGGUCUCUGGUAGCUGUGAUCUUUACAACCUCAUAGACAGCGUGGAUCUUCUCAACUUUCUUCCUCGUCCUCAUCUCGUCAGUAUCCGCAAGAUAAGGAACUUCCUCUCUGAUAAAACCAAGGAAGAACACCUCGUAGACGCCUUCAUCUGAAGAGCACCCACACCCACACAUACUAAGGGUUACAAAAGGUAUUUAUCUCGUCUGUGCGUGUUAUACAAAAGAGUGCGUUGUCUUUUCUUACCUGACUGCAGGCCUUCGUCUGGCCGGAUGCAGACGGAAGCGAUGCUGAAGAGCGAGAAGACGACGAAGGCGACCACGAUGAAGGCCAGCUCAAAUCCAGAGAAAGGCACUUCCAUGGGCUCACAGUUGUUAUGUAACCCAGCAUGCAGUAUGGAAUAUAUCACACAAUAUGAAAGAAGCAUUCAUGUAAUAUGUAUAUUGUGCUUGUAGUUUUUCGGUGGUGUACAGCUAUACUGUAUCGCACUUUUCCUAGUAUUUUGAUUCUUUGGUUGAAAUAAAUAUGGCGACCGCAAGAGUACAAACUGUGGGAUGGGGAAAGGCAUUUCAGAAGACUAUUCAACAACACAGUCAUGUUUUGAGAUACGAGUGACCCGACUUACGGGUUUUUUUUAGAUAUGAGCUGUAAUUUGGCUGAUUUAUUUUUUUGCUCUGACUUGCGAGAGCAAACUUGUGAUACAAGCGCAAUGUGGUGUCAGUAAAACCCAUUAAACUCACUUCACAAUAAGCAAUAGUUUGGCAAAUAGUGAACAUUUCAUCAAAAAAGAGGCUUCAAGCUAUUUAAUGCCACCACCAGUUGUAAAACGUUACACCCUGGUCCAUGGUCUCUGUUCCAGGUUUGAUAUUACCUCCGAAGCCGGGUUGACUCUUCCGUUUUUAUACAGAACAGCAACACGGGGGGGGCUUGGAAAAUUCCCA
This is a long non-coding RNA of Phycodurus eques (leafy seadragon), 1709 nucleotides long. RefSeq lists it as uncharacterized. The record is from RefSeq and is a predicted model, not a curated record. The transcript has 5 exons. Lineage: Eukaryota; Metazoa; Chordata; Actinopteri; Syngnathiformes; Syngnathidae.